UACGUAGGGGGCAAGCGUUGUCCGGAUUUAUUGGGCGUAAAGAGCGUGUAGGCGGCUAGGUAGGUCCGUUGUGAAAACUCGAGGCUCAACCUCGAGACGCCGGUGGAAACCAUCUAGCUAGAGUCCGGAAGAGGAGAGUGGAAUUCCUGGUGUAGCGGUGAAAUGCGCAGAUAUCAGGAAGAACACCAAUGGCGAAGGCAGCUCUCUGGGACGGUACUGACGCUGAGACGCGAAAGCGUGGGUAGCAAACAGG
Molecule: ribosomal RNA, 253 nt
Filed under: uncultured bacterium
Lineage: Bacteria
Description: partial 16S ribosomal RNA
Rfam family: Bacterial small subunit ribosomal RNA
Source: RNAcentral